RNAcentral lists this long non-coding RNA (393 nucleotides) under Vombatus ursinus (common wombat). RNAcentral's name for it is "lncRNA (ENSVURG00010020904.1)". Lineage: Eukaryota; Metazoa; Chordata; Mammalia; Diprotodontia; Vombatidae. The record is from RNAcentral.
UGAGAGAGACAGCGGUGCAGAGAUUUACAUGGGUAUAUAUUGGAGACCUGGGUUUGAAAGCUAUCUUCUGGUUAUUUACACGUGAAACAGUUUACACUUCUGUGUAUUGGUAGAUUGUUGCAAGAACCACAAAUCCUUCCCUCUCUUACAUGGUGCCCAGAGGGAAAUCAAGUGGAAGUUUCUAUAUCCCUGGAGAAUGAUGACGUCAUCAUGCAAGAAGUACAUCAUCAGCUUGAUGUGUGAAUCUAUUGUGGUAUAACCAGUGAGGACCCUGGUCACUCAAUACUCAGCGCCCUGGCCUUCUGGGCUAGCCCAGAAUCAUAGAAUUGGCCCCUUCUACCUCCAGCCAGGUGAGUGAUAAUCCAAUUGUAAUCGUUGUGGAAUGGCCUGUGG